GAUGAAGAACGUAGCGAAAUGCGAUAAGUAAUGUGAAUUGCAGAAUUCAGUGAAUCAUCGAAUCUUUGAACGCACAUUGCGCCCCUUGGUAUUCCGAGGGGCAUGCCUAUUCGAGCGUCAUUGCUGCCCUCAAGCACGGCUUGUGUGUUGGGCCUCCGUCCUCCUCCCGGGGGACGGGCCCGAAAGGCAGCGGCGGCACCGCGUCCGGUCCUCGAGCGUAUGGGGCUUCGUCACCCGCUCUUGUAGGCCCGGCCGGCGCUUGCCGACACAUCAAUCUUUUUUCCAGGUUGACCUCGGAUCAGGUAGGGAUACCCGCUGAACUUAAGCAUAUCAAUAAGCGGAGGA
Molecule: unclassified non-coding RNA, 345 nt
Filed under: soil metagenome
Description: partial contains 5.8S ribosomal RNA, internal transcribed spacer 2, and large subunit ribosomal RNA
Rfam family: 5.8S ribosomal RNA (bases 1-120)
Source: RNAcentral